GAUGAACGCUGGCGGCGUGCCUAAUACAUGCAAGUCGAGCGAACGGACGAGAAGCUUGCUUCUCUGAUGUUAGCGGCGGACGGGUGAGUAACACGUGGAUAACCUACCUAUAAGACUGGGAUAACUUCGGGAAACCGGAGCUAAUACCGGAUGAUAUUUUGAACCGCAUGGUUCAAAAGUGAAAGAGGGUCUUGCUGUCACUUAUAGAUGGAUCCGCGCUGCAUUAGCUAGUUGGUAAGGUAACGGCUUACCAAGGCAACGAUGCAUAGCCGACCUGAGAGGGUGAUCGGUCACACUGGAACUGAGACACGGUCCAGACUCCUACGGGAGGCAGCAGUAGGGAAUCUUCCGCAAUGGGCGAAAGCCUGACGGAGCAACGCCGCGUGAGUGAUGAAGGUCUUCGGAUCGUAAAACUCUGUUAUUAGGGAAGAACAUAUGUGUAAGUAACUGUGCACAUCUUGACGGUACCUAAUCAGAAAGCCACGGCUAACUACGUG
RNAcentral lists this ribosomal RNA (497 nucleotides) under uncultured bacterium. RNAcentral describes it as "partial 16S ribosomal RNA". It matches the Rfam family "Bacterial small subunit ribosomal RNA", at positions 28 to 507 of the family's 1533-position model. The record is from RNAcentral.